AAAUUUUAAAUUUUAAAGUUUAAAAUUUAAAUAUAUUUUUAAAAUUAACUAGCUUUUCAAACAGCUUUUCAAAAUUUUUAAUUUGCCAAACAGCUUUUUAAAAUCACUUCAGAAAAAAUCACUUUUAUCUAAACUCCGCCAAACGUUCUAUAACUUUUAAGCAAAAUCACUUCUCCAAACCAAAAUCACUUUUUCAGAAAUCACUUUUUCGGAAGCUAGGCCAAACAGGCCCACAUGCCCUCACCAUCCUCCUCCACCUCACCCUCGCCCACCUCUCCGCCCAUACCUACCAUGAUCUCCUCCCUACAAUCGCCGAAAUAGAGGGACGUCAAGGAUGUUAGAGAAGUAGGGAAGCAGGUGGAGAAAACGGAGUCGGAGCUGGGGUUGAUAGAGGCGCGGGCGAGGGUGCGGAAUGAGCAAGAUUGAGAAAACGAAGAAGAUGAGAGAAAUUUGAUCAUUUUGUCACACCGUACUCCCUGUGAAUAUUUUAAAUUUUUUAAAAGGAUGAAAUGUAGAUUUUUUAAUAAUGGAAGAGAAAGUGAAAAAACGGAUAUUAACAGCAGAGUUUUAUGUAAUUUAGCCAAAAUCUAAUUGACAGAUCCGAUCUGAUUUGAUAUAGUUGAAAAUAUUGUAAUCAAUAGUUUAUGUAAUUA
Molecule: long non-coding RNA, 653 nt
Filed under: Ananas comosus (pineapple)
Lineage: Eukaryota; Viridiplantae; Streptophyta; Magnoliopsida; Poales; Bromeliaceae
Description: long non-coding RNA (ACOM_LNC001663)
Source: RNAcentral